AAAAUAAUAAUAAUAAUAUAACGGACUUAUUAUGGAUUUAAUAGAGGAAGAUAUUUUGUUAAAUAACUCUUUUCAUACUGGCAAUAAUUCCUGUAUUGUAAUAAUUCGAAAUUUUUUCUCUAGGAAGAUUGAAUUAUUGGUUAAUAGAAUAAAAUUAUUCUUCAAUAAAGAAAUGAAAGAAAACGAAGAAAAACACGUAAACCAAUCGCCAUAUAUCAACAAUAAUGUAAUUGUAACAUCAAUUCUUGCAUCGAGCAAUUCUCAUAACACAGAAUUUAAUUUCGUUAUUCCCGAAUUAAUAGUAUUAGGAGGAAACGACGAUAGUAGAUCGAGUGUAAAAAUAUGCUCCGAAGAAAUCGAAAAAGAUCUACCAUGUUGCAAUGGAAGAUAUUUACCUGCUAUCAUGUCGGGCCAUGAUUGACAUUAAAAACGAACAGCAGCCGGAUGGACAAGAUAAAGUGACAGCCUCCCGUUCUGGGGAUCCGAGAUUCUGGAGAAUCCUGUCAGAUGAUAUAUCUUUCAUCGGCCAGAGUAAAUCAAAUAGAUCAAAACAAUCAGGUGGAACUGAAUCAUGUGUCAUUCUUGAUAAUUAGCAAUGCUUUAUAAAAAUAUAAAAAUGGUUUUAUAUUGUGAAUUAAAGUUUUUUGUAUUACAUUUACAAUCGUCGAAUUCUUAUUAACUUCAAGGAGACAUACUAUUUCAUCAGGCUGGAGAGCGUUAUAAAAAGUGAAGAUUUCUUCUUCCAGUUGUGAGACUAGUAAUAUUUAUCACAUCUUUCUUAAUUAUUUACAACUAGCAAAGACCGAGAUUAAAACAGUUCUCUUUAUUUCGCCUAUUUAAAAAUGAUUUUCGGAUUGGUAAUUUUCUAAUCCCUUUUCCGGCUGACAGUUUCAGAUCUAAAGUUA
This 905-nucleotide unclassified non-coding RNA is filed under the name Centruroides sculpturatus (bark scorpion). Its description in RNAcentral is "uncharacterized LOC111635471, transcript variant X3". Lineage: Eukaryota; Metazoa; Arthropoda; Arachnida; Scorpiones; Buthidae. The record is from RNAcentral.